This 67-nucleotide transfer RNA is filed under the name Marmota monax (woodchuck). Its description in RNAcentral is "tRNA.Ala". The record is from RNAcentral. Lineage: Eukaryota; Metazoa; Chordata; Mammalia; Rodentia; Sciuridae.
GGUUGUGGCUCAGCUGUAGAGCACUCGCCUAGCAUGUGCAAGGCUCUGGGUUCAAUCCUCAGCCCCA